RNAcentral lists this small nucleolar RNA (87 nucleotides) under Aspergillus aculeatus ATCC 16872. The record is from RNAcentral. Lineage: Eukaryota; Fungi; Ascomycota; Eurotiomycetes; Eurotiales; Aspergillaceae.
CAAUGAUGAUUCCCUUAGAUGACGAGUCUUAUUGGAGUUAUCCAUGCAGACAACAUCUUUUUUUUAACCAUUCAUGCAUUUCUGAUA